AUGCUCUCUUUGACUCCUCUCACUCACGGAUAUGUCUCAUUACUUUUCAGAAUGAUUCCUCUAAAUCUUGUUCACUUAUUUUAUUCCCUAUUUAGACCAGAUAUCUUCUGUUUGCCCUUCCAUAAAGACGUCCCACCCAUGUCCAUGUUGCUCUUCGCCAUCAAGACGAAGAGCCUGUGCUUGGAUCUGGCAUCUUAUGAUCUUCAGCAUCCACCUGUCUAUAUUGAUUUGUCCAGGCUUUCCUAAUGCAUUAGUGCUUGAGUCCUUUCUCCAGGUUGACAUAGCAAUCCUUCAUAUCACCUAGGGACAAGUUGGUAAGUGUUCUAAGACAAAUGCUUUGAGACUAUCCCAAGGUGCUUUUGUUUAACAGAGAGCAGAUUCAAGAGCUGUAUAAUUGCUUAACAUAAGUUUCUAGGGAGUAGAAACACUGCCUAAGUUUCCAGGCUCCUGAUUCUUAAGUAGGUAACCCAGACUUCCCCCCACUUUUGACUGAAGCCAUCCUAAUUAUUAUGAGAUGAACCUAAGACAAUUUGAAGUCUAUAAGCUAAUUUUUCAGAGGAUAACAUGGUUUGGAGUGAAAUAAUAAAUAUUCCUUAGUUACUUUAACAUUAACAAAAUGGUAAAGCAAUUCUUCAUUUAGUACCAAUAAACGCAACACAAUUAAUAAUGGAGAAAGAAAUUAAGUUAAUAUGGAAAGUAUACAUUGUGAAAGUAGGUAUUUUUGAUUCCAAAACUAAACUAUGCUUUGUUAGCAUAGCUUGAAUUACCGUAUAUAAUUAUGCACAGUGAUGGUGCUCUUAUUUAAUAUAGAAACUUCAUUAAUUAUAACAUCAUAUGCUCCAUAAUCUAAAUUGUAGUGGGUUUUAUAUAGUAAGAACCUAUGUGAUCUUUUUGAAUGAAUGCAGUUAUUUCUGAAUAUUUUGGCUAAAAUUUCAAGAAGUAGUCUAAAUUAAUGAGCCUUGGUUGUUUGAAGAAAUUAGGCUUGCCCAAGGCACAAUGGAAUAGAAAUAAAUGAUCAUUCUCCCUGAAAAAUUCAUUCUGCAUAUAUAUUAUAAUGAAAUCUCAGACUAAGACCCAAGUAAAGAAUUUUAUUGCCAGUCUAGUAGGUCCCAACUUGAGUUGGUUGUAUUCAACAGGAUGUACAAAUUCAUUAUUUCAAUAUUGUAUUAGUUAAAGCUCCAAAAUAUUUGGACAUAUCUUCAGAUCCUCAGGUGUUCAAUUCAGUUGGCUGGUUUUUUCUAUAAGCAUAUCAUUGUUUCUUUAAAUUAUUUAAUAUUAGAAAACACCAUUCACUCCAAGGAUUCUAGAGGCCUUGCUUAGUUAAAUAAUAACACACAAGUCAUAAUAGAUGUCAUGAUGUGGAUAGUUUGCUAUGAUCAACACUCAUCUUGGAUGCCAGCUACCCGAACUUAAGAAAUUCAUAGCAAAAGCACUAUAGCAGGACAAACGCAAGUUAAGAGAGACAAGAGAAAAAGCAAAGAAAAGGAAGGAAAAGAAGAAAAGAAAAAAUAAAUAAUUUUAUUAUCACCUUGCUCUAACUACAAAAUAUAUUAAAUAUAUACAUAUAUUUGUGGUAGACAUACUCAAAGGUGGUCCCCAAGAUCUCUAGCUCCUGGAAUUUAUGCCCUAUAACUUUUCUGCCUUUUUAACGUGGAUAGAACCUGUGACUUGCUUCUGAUCAAUAGAGUAUGGCAAAGAUAAUGGAUGUCACUGUCAUGUGAAUGUUUCAUAAAACCAUAAACCAUAUUUCUAGGGGACACUAGCCCUGGCAGUCUUUGAGGAAGCAAGUUGUUAUCAUGCUGGGAAGGCCCUCAUGACAAGAAGCUGAUGAAGGCUUCCAGCUGACAGCCAGCAAGAUACAGAGGUCCUGGGUCCAGUAGCCCAUAAGGGACUAAUGGACUAACAACCACACGAACACGAAAGCGAAUGUUUCCUCAACUGAGCUUCAGAUGAGACUGCAGGUCCUGCCAAUACUUCAACUGCAGCCUUGUGAGAUCCUGAAGCAGAGAUUCCAGCUAAGCUUUUCCAACGUCUGCCCAAAUAGUGAGACAAUACAUGUGUUUUUCUUUUUUUCAGUCACUAUUAUAGAACAAUAUACAAGAAAACAUUCAAUAUAUUUAUAUAAAUUUAUAUUUUAAGUAUAAAAUAUGUCAGACAUCAUAAUAGGUUGUUUAAUUACUACAAUAUUUAAUCUGAAAAAUAACCAAAAGUAUAUAACUCAAAGGAGAGGGAUUUAUGUUACUCAACACAAAUUUGAGUGUGUUCUUACAUUACUCUCUUCUUGUAUUUCUGGGAGAAGCCAAACUGGGUCAUGUAACUUUAAAUUUAGAAGAAUAAAUGUUUUGAUACAAUCGUAGCCUUGAUUUUUAAUACAGUGUUUAAUAAUUUUAUAGUUAUAUAGCUAAGUUGAUUUUAUUCGAAUGAGAAAAGCCAGAGAAUGACACAAGAUAAAGGAAAACGCAGAUGCGCUCUGUCACUUUUGAUUUAUUUGAAAAUAUCUUCAUUUGGUAUUUAUUCUUCAAUAAUGUUGGGCAUAAAAUUCUAGAUUGAUUUUUUUUUCCUCAUAAUUUUAGGGAAACUUUUUGUCCCUUUUUUAUUUUUGCUUUGGAGAUAUCUUCUGUAUCAUUUCUGUAAUCUAGUUUACUUUCUCCCUUUAAAUAUUUAUUAUUUAUUUAUUUUAGUAUUCUACACUUUUCCUUAGGAGUAAAUUCAUUUUUAUUUACUAUCCUUGAGAUUCAUUAUGCUUUGUAAAUCUAAGAAGUUAGGCUUUUUAUUCAAUUCUAGAAUAGUGUAUGCCUUUUUCUAUAAAUAUUUGAAUACUGUUUUGCUUCCAUUAACUGCAUUCUCUUGUCAUAGAACCCUCAUUAGAUGCAUGUUAAGUUUUAUUACCAUGUCCUCCUCUCCACUUCUCUCAAAUUUUCUUAAGUAUUUAAUAUUUAAAAAUUCAUGUUUCUAAAUAAUUGCCUUAAAUAUAUCUUCUAUCUCAUCAAUGACUUUACAUAUUUUAUAUGUAAAUGUUUAAAUGUAUAUGUUUGCAUACAUAUGUCUAUAUACAUAUGUAUUUAAAGAAUUUUGUGUUUUUUUCUUCUCUUGUUGAUAUUUUCUCAUAGUGUUUGAUUCAUUUCUUAAUACUUUUAGCUUUAACCUUUUUAUCCUAUUUUAACAGAUUGGUUAAUCAAAGUCACCUGAAUAACAUUGUUAUAUUACAUAUAUAUAUAUAUAUAUAUAUAUAUAUAUAUAGAGAGAGAGAGAGAGAGAGAGAGAGAGAGAGAGAGACAGACUCUUAUUCAUUUAUCUUCUUAUUGUGAUUCGAAUCUUGACCCAUGUUUAGAAGGGUUUUAUCUAUGUGGAUCCUAGGCUAAGGAGUUACCUUUCCAAAAGGAUGUAUGCUUGCCUCCAGCAAGUGCCCAGGAGUAUGGCCAUUUU
This 3426-nucleotide long non-coding RNA is filed under the name Macaca fascicularis (crab-eating macaque). RNAcentral describes it as "lncRNA (ENSMFAG00000053425.1)". The record is from RNAcentral. Lineage: Eukaryota; Metazoa; Chordata; Mammalia; Primates; Cercopithecidae.